GCGGACGACCAGGGCGAGCGCCAGAACGUUUUUUACCUUUAGACAUUACAUCACUCCUUCUGCACGUAAUUUUUGACGCACGUUUUCUUCUGCGUCAGUAAGAACGUCAGUGUUUCCUGCGCGUACACGCAAGGUAAACGCGAACAAUUCAGCGGCUUUAACCGGACGCUCGACGCCAUUAAUAAUGUUUUCCGUAAAUUCAGCGCCUUCCAU
This 213-nucleotide ribosomal RNA is filed under the name uncultured prokaryote. RNAcentral's name for it is "partial 16S ribosomal RNA". The record is from RNAcentral.